This 3805-nucleotide long non-coding RNA is filed under the name Sus scrofa (pig). RNAcentral's name for it is "lncRNA (ENSSSCG00000043312.1)". Lineage: Eukaryota; Metazoa; Chordata; Mammalia; Artiodactyla; Suidae. The record is from RNAcentral.
AAGAGACAUUAAUCUGUGUGCGAGAAUGCAUUGUCAUGGUCAGAGAACUGUUCAUCUCCUUUGCACUGAAAUGGUCGGCUUGAACACACUAAAAAAGGUUUUGCUACAAGCCAGGAAGUUUGAAAUAAAUUCAGUAGCCAACCAGCAGUCAUUGAAUAUUUUGGGGCAGAAAAGAGACAUUCUGAGAAUGAACUUAUGAAAAAAUUGCUCUGGCAAUGGUAUGUAGAAUUGUUAGGGGAAAGAGGAUAAACAAUAAACAUAUAGAUAUUUAUUACUUUAGAAGAGUCAGGGGAUAAUAACUACCUGAAACUAGAACAUGGUAAUGACAAAAAAAAAAAAAAUGGGAGAGAUUAAUUAAAAAUAAAUUGUUGAUAAAUUUUAGUGGUUAACUUGACUUGAAAGGACAGACAUAAAUGAGUCAAAGAUAAAUUCUAAUUUUUGUGUCUGAAUGACUGGGAGACUGAGGGUACAAAGCUGCUGCUGCAAAAAAAAAAAAAACCAUUUCUCAAAAGCCAGGCCAACUCUGGGCUCUCUACUUAUUUCCUUGUUUUUAUUCAUUUCUUAUAUUUUCUUUUCCUUGUUUCUUAUUCAUUUUCUGUUUCUCUCUUCCUUGUUCUUUAUUCCUUACCCUAUAAAAAGCCUCCUGCCUUCCACCCCAUUUUGCAGUUCUCUGGGCUCUUGAGAAGAGAGACUGGGGUUGUCACGAUGGGAUAAAGUGUAUUGUAUCACCACCUUGUCUUCUUUAAUCAUUUUAAAUAAUAAUAAAUACAUUAAUACUUUGCUGGCAUUUUACAGCUAAAAAGCACCAGAAAUUUAUACUGGGAAAAAUAAACUUUAGAGCCUGUACUUACAGAGUAGAAAUUAUUCUACUCAUGUGCCAUUAAUUCAUUUCAUUGAAACUUAAGCCUGAUUCCCUUGAAAGAUACUCUAAGAGAAAUAUAAAUUAAUUAUUUGUCAAUUCAUUUGGGCUACUAUAACAAAAAUAAACAUCUCAAGCAAUAAACAUUUAUUUCUGACUUUUGUGGAGCAUGGGAAGUCUGUGAUUAAGGUGUCAGCAGAUUCUAUGUCUGUAAAGGCCCACUUCUUGACCUAUAGAUUGACACUGUGUCCUCAUAUAGAAAAAGGGGCUAGGGAGCACUCCUGAGUCCUUUUUAUAAAGGCACUAAUCCUAUUUAUAAGUGCAAUACUCUAAUGACCCAAUCACCUCCCAAAAGCCCCACCUCCAAAUACUGUCACACUGGGGGUUAAGUUUCACCACAUGAAUUUUGAGGGGGUCACAAACCACUAUAUUUGUUUUGCUGUGGAGCAUAUAUAUAGAGAUCUUUAUGCUAUCAUUUAGAUCUACAGAGUUGGAUUUUUUAAAGCUAACUAGUCUUAAAACUAUCUAUUUGUCUCUCACCGAAGAUAGCCCAGGUGGAAGUAAAAGCACAAGUUACUUUUCUUACUUUCAUUUUCUUAAAUUUCAGAAACAUUUGAUAGAAGAAGCAGCAUAUCAGAGCUGCUUCUAGCAAAUGUUGCUGGUGGGUGAGGUUCAAUUACCACCACUAUCGUGUCAAACCACUCAAUACACUGUUCUUACUGACAUGAUAGUGGUGGUAACUGAAUCUUUCUUAAAAAGUCAAUGAUUAAAUCAUUCCUCAAUUUUUAUCCAUGUUAAUUGAUGCUUAUUUUUAUAAUGUUUCUACACAGAGAAUAUGCCUAUUUGGAUUCUAUUCAGUAAAGAGAAACCUCCCAGGUAUUUUAAGCAAGAAGAGUUUUAAUAUAGAAAAUUAGCACCUGUGGAAUGUUUGAAGGGCUGGAGCAAAAGGGUCUCAUUGAGACUUGUGCCACUGAAGGCCACAGAACAGAGUAGUUACUAUGUCCACCACACUCUAGAAGGGUUAGGAAUCUGAAGGCUGCCCAAGGAAGUUCUAGGUUCAAGAUCAUACUUCUCUGUAGCACACUGAUGAUCAAGAAACCAGGAUUGAGAAGCUGCUGAAUCACCACUGUUAACUCUUUCUCAAAUUGGUACAACCACUAUGGAAACAGUAUGGAGGUACCUUAGAAAACUAUACAUAGAACUACCAUAUGACCUAGGAAUCCCACUCUUGGGCAUAUAUCUGGACAAAACUUUUCUUGAAAAAGACACAUGCACCUGUAUGUUCAUUGCAGCACUAUUCACAAUAGCCAAAAUACAGAAACAACCUAAAUGUCCAUCAACAGAUGAAUGGAUUAAGAAGAUAUGGUAUAUAUUCACAAUGGAAAACUACUCAGCCAUAAAAAUAAUGAAAUAAUGUCAUUUGCAGCAACAUGGAUGGAACUAAAGACUCUCAUAUUAAGUGAAGUUAAGUCAGAAAGACAAAAACAAAUACCAUAUGAUAUCACCUAUAUCUGGAAUCUAAUAUAUGGCACAAAUGAACUUUCCACAGAAAAGAGAAUCAUAGACAUGGAGAACAGACUUGUCGUUGCCAAGGGGGAAGGGGAGGGAGUGGGAUGGACUUAGAAUUUGGAGUUAAUAGAUGCAAACUAUUGCCUUGCAUCUAUCCAUCCUUGGAAUGGAUAAGCAAUGAGAUCCUGCUGUAUAGCAAUGGGAACUAUAUCUAGUCACUUAUGAUGGAGCAUGAUGGAGGAUAAUGUGAGAAAAAAGAAUAUAUACAUGUAUGUGUGACUGGGUCACCAUGCUGUACAGUAGAAAAUUGACAGAACACUGUAAACCAGCUAUAAUGGAAAAAAUAAAAAUCAUUAUUAAAAAAAAAAAAGCUGAUGGCUAAACAUGGAAUCCUGCUGCAGAAAACAAAAACAGAACAAUUUUUCCACCUCAUUGGUUACAGAAGGCAAUAGCUAGAAGUAGAAGGAAGAUGAUGUUUGUCUCACUUCAUCUUCUAAAUCUCACACAGGGCAUUUAAUAGGCAGAAAAUGAUUUAUAUCUGGAAUGCUAAUGACAAGGAAACGAAGUAUUUAGCUUUUCAGGCCAAAUGACACAAGAAGGUCUCAAAAAAGGAGUAAAAAUAAAUAAAUACUGGGUGCUAAUUAAUCUUAUCCAAUACAAGGUUUCACUUUAAAACCUUUAUCUUGUUUAUAUCCCAAAUUUUUUUUCUAUUUUUCAUCAAUUGUUGAAUGUAAAUGAGCUACAUUUUAUUAAGGCACAGUUGUUCCUAAUUAUACAAAAAUCAGUUAAACUAACAGUCAAAGUUCUCAAACUCUCUACUAUCCAGAGCCUUGGAGUUUCGCCACAUAAAUAAUAACUCCUCCUCAUUUUGAUGAUCUUGAAGCAGUUAUUCCCCUUAAACUGCAGAACUGUCUGCACACCAGUAUGAACAAUGUACUUAAUGUUUCCCAGGCUUUUUCAGAGAAAGUAUUUUAUUUUAAAUGUAGUAUCUCAUAAAACAAAAAGAGAAAUUAUGACACUACACACACACACACACACACAAUUCAGAAUUAUCUAGUCAGUGCAAUGAGUCUUUUUCACCUGACUUAGCUUAACCAAAAUCUUAUAUUUGAACUUCCCAAUUAUUUAUAAGUUAACAGAAUGGAAAAACUUAGGUAAAUGGAGAAAAAGAUGGCUUCCUGGACUGGCAAGGCUUUUUUUUUUUUUUUUUUUUUUUUUUUUUUUUUUUUUUUGUCUUUUUGCCAUUUCUUGGGCCGCUCCCGCAGCAUAUGGAGUUUCCCAGGCUAGGGGUUGAAUCGGAGCUGUAGCCGCCGGCCUACACCAGAGCCACAGCAACGCGGGAUCUGAGCUGCUUCUGUGACCUACACCACAGCUCACGGCAACGCCGGAUCCUUAACCCACUGAGCAAGGCCAGGGAUCAAACCUAAAACCUCAUGG